AGAGCGAACGCUGGCGGCAGGCUUAACACAUGCAAGUCGAGCGGGCGUAGCAAUACGUCAGCGGCAGACGGGUGAGUAACGCGUGGGAACAUACCUUUUGGUUCGGAACAACACAGGGAAACUUGUGCUAAUACCGGAUAAGCCCUUACGGGGAAAGAUUUAUCGCCGAAAGAUUGGCCCGCGUCUGAUUAGCUAGUUGGUGAGGUAACGGCUCACCAAGGCGACGAUCAGUAGCUGGUCUGAGAGGAUGAUCAGCCACAUUGGGACUGAGACACGGCCCAAACUCCUACGGGAGGCAGCAGUGGGAAUAUUGGACAAUGGGCGCAAGCCUGAUCCAGCCAUGCCGCGUGAGUGAUGAAGGCCCUAGGGUUGUAAAGCUCUUUUGUGCGGGAAGAUAAUGGACGGUACCGCAAGAAUAAGCCCCGGACUAACUUCGCGCCAGCAGCCGC
This 449-nucleotide ribosomal RNA is filed under the name uncultured bacterium. RNAcentral describes it as "SSU rRNA". It matches the Rfam family "Bacterial small subunit ribosomal RNA", at positions 26 to 518 of the family's 1533-position model. The record is from RNAcentral.